CCUUGGUGGGUUCGCCCACCACUAGGACAAACAUAAACCUUUUGUAAUUGCAAUCAGCGUCAGUAACAAAUUAAUAAUUACAACUUUCAACAACGGAUCUCUUGGUUCUGGCAUCGAUGAAGAACGCAGCGAAAUGCGAUAAGUAGUGUGAAUUGCAGAAUUCAGUGAAUCAUCGAAUCUUUGAACGCACAUUGCGCCCUUUGGUAUUCCAAAGGGCAUGCCUGUUCGAGCGUCAUUUGUACCCUCAAGCUUUGCUUGGUGUUGGGCGUCUUGUCUCUAGCUUUGCUGGAGACUCGCCUUAAAGUAAUUGGCAGCCGGCCUACUGGUUUCGGAGCGCAGCACAAGUCGCACUGUCUAUCAGCAAAGGUAUACGCACACGGUACACUAGUCACUGAAGGGAGGACGUGGCAUCAGAUAGGGCUAUCGGUAGAAAUCAUGCAGCACAAUAAGCGGAGGAA
Molecule: ribosomal RNA, 458 nt
Filed under: uncultured organism
Description: eukaryotic LSU rRNA
Rfam family: 5.8S ribosomal RNA (bases 82-235)
Source: RNAcentral